Molecule: transfer RNA, 74 nt
Filed under: Candidatus Aphodousia faecipullorum
Lineage: Bacteria; Pseudomonadati; Pseudomonadota; Betaproteobacteria; Burkholderiales; Sutterellaceae
Also listed under: 2 other names
Description: tRNA-Cys
Rfam family: tRNA
About the family: Transfer RNA (tRNA) molecules are approximately 80 nucleotides in length. Their secondary structure includes four short double-helical elements and three loops (D, anti-codon, and T loops).
Source: RNAcentral
GGCGCGAUAGCAAAGCGGCUAUGCAGCGGAUUGCAAAUCCGUAUAGAGCGGUUCGACUCCGCUUCGCGCCUCCA